RNAcentral lists this long non-coding RNA (565 nucleotides) under Anser brachyrhynchus (Pink-footed goose). RNAcentral's name for it is "lncRNA (ENSABRG00000003087.1)". The record is from RNAcentral. Lineage: Eukaryota; Metazoa; Chordata; Aves; Anseriformes; Anatidae.
UGAAAUUGCCUCAUCUGCUAGUGGCUGUGUCCAUGUCUAGUCCCGCUUCCAUGGAAACACAUGUCAGAGCUGCAAACACAAAGUAAUGGUUUCCAAAAGCUGCCUUAAAAAUAACCCUGAGCUUACUGUUGUUUUGUUUGUGAUCCUCUCCAUACCAAGACUGUGUCUCAGAUGAAUUGCUGAAUUUUCUGAAGCAGAGAAUAGAGAAAAGAAAGCUCUUUGCCUGCAGAUUCCUCUGGGGUUUCCUGACCCACUGCAGAAGAACACAGCAUGAUUCUGCUUUGGUUUUAGAGAGUCGGAUUGACCUCUAAUAUAAGGAGGGUUCCCAGAUAUACCAGACAGAUCAGAGAAGAUUGGGAGAUUGCUGAUCAGGUCUUCUGGGGACAAGUCAGAUUCACUGUACAUGAAUUACAUAGUAAGUGUAGUGUGUGUGGGGGGGGUGUGGAUGUGUGCAUGUGUAUGUACAUCUCUACCCUUGCCUUAAGUUUUCAACAAUAAUUGGCUUAAUUAGCCAUUGCUGUUUGUCAGCAAGAGGAGAGCCUUCAAAUAUACUUUUACAAAGAAA